GACAGAGGGUGCAAACGUUGUUCGGAAUUACUGGGCGUAAAGCGCGUGUAGGCUGCUCUGCAAGUCGGAUGUGAAAGCCCUGGGCUCAACCUAGGAAGUGCACUCGAAGCUGCAGAGCUCGAGUCUCGGAGAGGAUCGCGGAAUUCUCGGUGUAGAGGUGAAAUUCGUAGAUAUCGAGAGGAACACCGGUGGCGAAGGCGGCGAUCUGGACGAUGACUGACGCUGAGACGCGAAAGCGUGGGGAGCAAACAGG
This 253-nucleotide ribosomal RNA is filed under the name uncultured bacterium. Its description in RNAcentral is "partial 16S ribosomal RNA". It matches the Rfam family "Bacterial small subunit ribosomal RNA", at positions 524 to 776 of the family's 1533-position model. The record is from RNAcentral.